This 499-nucleotide ribosomal RNA is filed under the name uncultured bacterium. Its description in RNAcentral is "partial 16S ribosomal RNA". It matches the Rfam family "Bacterial small subunit ribosomal RNA", at positions 28 to 507 of the family's 1533-position model. The record is from RNAcentral.
GAUGAACGCUGGCGGCGUGUCUAAUACAUGCUAGCCGAGCGAGCAGACGAGAGUGCUUGCACUCUCUAACGUUAGCGGCGGACGGGUGAGUAACACGUGGGUAACCUACCGAUAAGACUGGGAUAGCUUCGGGAAACCUGAGGUAAUACCGGAUAAUAAUUAGCUUCGCAUGAAGCAAUAGGGAAAGACGGUUCUGCUGUCACUUAUAGAUGGAUCCGCGGUGCAUUAGCUAGUUGGUGAGGUAACGGCUCACCAAGGCAACGAUACAUAGCCGACCUGAGAGGGUGAUCGCCCACACUGGGACUGAGACACGGCCCAGACUCCUACGGGAGGCAGCAGUAGGGAAUCUUCCGCAAUGGACGAAAGUCUGACGGAGCAAUGCCGCGUGAGUGAAGAAGGUUUUCGGAUCGUAAAACUCUGUUGUAAGGGAAGAACAAGUACGUUAGUAACUGAACGUACCUUGACGGUACCUUACCAGAAAGGCACGGCUAACUACGUG